This 443-nucleotide ribosomal RNA is filed under the name uncultured bacterium. RNAcentral's name for it is "partial 16S ribosomal RNA". It matches the Rfam family "Bacterial small subunit ribosomal RNA", at positions 338 to 795 of the family's 1533-position model. The record is from RNAcentral.
CCUACGGGAGGCUGCAGUGGGGAAUAUUGGGCAAUGGGCGCAAGCCUGACCCAGCAACGCCGCGUGAAGGAAGAAGGCUUUCGGGUUGUAAACUUCUUUUCUCAGGGACGAAGCAAGUGACGGUACCUGAGGAAUAAGCCACGGCUAACUACGUGCCAGCAGCCGCGGUAAUACGUAGGUGGCAAGCGUUAUGCGGAUUUACUGGGUGUAAAGGGCGUGUAGGCGGGAAAGGAAGUCAGAUGUGAAAACCAUGGGCUCAACCUGUGGCCUGCAUUUGAAACUGUUUUUCUUGAGUGCUGGAGAGGCAGACGGAAUUCCUGGUGUAGCGGUGAAAUGCGUAGAUAUUAGGAGGAACACCAGUGGCGAAGGCGGUCUACUGGACAGCAACUGACGCUGAGGCGCGAAAGCGUGGGGAGCAAACAGGAUUAGAUACCCGUGUAGUC